GGUUUUUGGGUUUAAUUUUGGUUUAAUUAGCCAAUUAACUGGCUAAUUAAACAUAAGGGGAAUGUUUUGGUGGUUAUAGAAUAUUUAGAAUAAAUAGAUAAUUAGGUCAUGUAAUAAUUAGCUAAUUGAUUUAGCUAAAAAAAGGAAAUUAGGUAAAAGAUAUAUGGGGUGAAAUAAAUUUUAGGAAUUACCUUGUAGAAGGAUUUGAUGAGAUGAAUUUUUGAAUUGUUACCUUUUUCGGACCUUUUUUUACUUCGUUGAGGGAUGAAAGCCCGCUGCUCGCAGUAGGAAUCCCGUUAUGCCUCAAGGGUAUUUUUGUCCUCUUUCGUCCAAAAAUCCACGUGUCACCUAAUGAAUAUUUUUGGCUCCACAAAUGCCCCUACACCUGUUGGGCUGCUCACAGAAAAGGGCAACAGGUGUAGAGAUUUUCUUGCUUUAGGAAACUUUGAAUUGCUUCUUAUUUUGGUGAUGAUUCUCUCUUUUAAUAGAAAAUUAGAUCCUUCUAAGAAAAGAAAAUAAAUCCCUCUCAAAGUUUAUUUAAGUCCACCUUAAGUGGAUUAUUAAAUCAACUUUUUGAGAGAAACUUAUUUCACCCUACAAGCGAGAGAAAGCUUAGAGGAUAUUUAUUCCCCUUCCUCUAGCCAUCUUCUACAUCUUGCCCGUGCAAAGGAUCGUCUUUCGUUGCUUGCUUCGUCCUCUCGUUGCUUCUAGGUAAGAAAAAAAUUACUUUUCCUGAUUUUUUUUUAUACCUC
This 752-nucleotide long non-coding RNA is filed under the name Malus domestica (apple). RNAcentral's name for it is "long non-coding RNA (MDOM_LNC006590)". Lineage: Eukaryota; Viridiplantae; Streptophyta; Magnoliopsida; Rosales; Rosaceae. The record is from RNAcentral.